ACCCGCUGAACUUAAGCAUAUCAAUAAGCGGAGGAAAAGAAACCAACAGGGAUUGCCCCAGUAACGGCGAGUGAAGCGGCAACAGCUCAAAUUUGAAAUCUGGAGCCGUAGCGGCUUCCGAGUUGUAAUUUGCAGAGGGUGUCUCGGAGGGCGGGUCGGUCCAAGUGCCUUGGAACAGGAUACCAAAGAGGGUGAGAGUCCCGUAUCCGGCCGAUUUCGCGCUCCGUGUGAGGCCCCUUCGACGAGUCGAGUUGUUUGGGAAUGCAGCUCUAAGCGGGUGGUAAAUUCCAUCUAAAGCUAAAUACCGGCCAGAGACCGAUAGCGAACAAGUAGAGUGAUCGAAAGAUGAAAAGCACUUUGAAAAGAGAGUCAAACAGUACGUGAAACUGUUGAAAGGGAAGCGCAUGGGGGCAGACUUGGACGCGGGGUUCAGGACGUCUGGUUGACGUCUGUACUUCCCCGCGGACAGGCCAGCAUCGGUCUUGGGGGCCGGACAAAGACGGCGGGAAUGUGGCUCUCUUCGGAGAGUGUUAUAGCCUGGCGUGCAAUGCGGCCACCUGGGACCGAGGACCGCGCUUCGGCAAGGAUGCUGGCGUAAUGGCCUCAUGCGGCCCGUCUUGAAACACGG
This 628-nucleotide ribosomal RNA is filed under the name uncultured fungus. RNAcentral describes it as "LSU rRNA". It matches the Rfam family "Eukaryotic large subunit ribosomal RNA", at positions 23 to 664 of the family's 3401-position model. Lineage: Eukaryota; Fungi. The record is from RNAcentral.